GACGAACGCUGGCGGCGUGCUUAACACAUGCAAGUCGAACGGUAAGGCCCUUCGGGGUACACGAGUGGCGAACGGGUGAGUAACACGUGGGUGAUCUGCCCUGCACUUCGGGAUAAGCCUGGGAAACUGGGUCUAAUACCGGAAAGGACCUCUGCCUGCAUGGGUGGUGGUGGAAAGCUUUUGCGGUGUGGGAUGGGCCCGCGGCCUAUCAGCUUGUUGGUGGGGUGAUGGCCUACCAAGGCGACGACGGGUAGCCGGCCUGAGAGGGUGACCGGCCACACUGGGACUGAGAUACGGCCCAGACUCCUACGGGAGGCAGCAGUGGGGAAUAUUGCACAAUGGGCACAAGCCUGAUGCAGCGACGCCGCGUGAGGGAUGACGGCCUUCGGGUUGUAAACCUCUUUCAGCACCGACGAAGCGCAAGUGACGGUAGGUGCAGAAGAAGGACCGGCCAACUACGUGCCAGCCGCCGCCGUAA
RNAcentral lists this ribosomal RNA (478 nucleotides) under uncultured bacterium. RNAcentral describes it as "partial 16S ribosomal RNA". It matches the Rfam family "Bacterial small subunit ribosomal RNA", at positions 28 to 523 of the family's 1533-position model. The record is from RNAcentral.